This 443-nucleotide ribosomal RNA is filed under the name uncultured bacterium. RNAcentral's name for it is "bacterial SSU rRNA". It matches the Rfam family "Bacterial small subunit ribosomal RNA", at positions 29 to 474 of the family's 1533-position model. The record is from RNAcentral.
AUUGAACGCUGGCGGAAUGCUUUACACAUGCAAGUCGAGCGGCAGCGCGGGGCAACCUGGCGGCGAGCGGCGAACGGGUGAGUAACAUAUCGGAACGUACCCAGUCGUGGGGGAUAACUAUCCGAAAGGAUAGCUAAUACCGCAUACGACCUGAGGGUGAAAGCGGGGGACCGAAAGGCCUCGCGCGAUUGGAGCGGCCGAUAUCGGAUUAGCUAGUUGGUGAGGUAAAGGCUCACCAAGGCGACGAUCCGUAGCUGGUCUGAGAGGACGACCAGCCACACUGGAACUGAGACACGGUCCAGACUCCUACGGGAGGCAGCAGUGGGGAAUUUUGGACAAUGGGGGGCAACCCUGAUCCAGCCAUUCCGCGUGAGUGAAGAAGGCCUUCGGUUGUAACCGCUUUAACCGGGAAGAAAAGGACGAUCUCUUAAUACGGGGUGUUC